ACCAGACUCACCACAUGCCCCAGCAAAAGCAGCAAGAGGAAAGUUAUAACAAGGGGACAAAAGGUGUAUUCAGCAGCAGUAAAGAAUGUGCAGGAAUAAGACAGUCAUGCAAAUCUUGCCGUGAAAAUGCUGCCUGCUCUCGGGGUAGUUGCAGUGGGAAGAGCAGCUCUGGAAUACAGUGUGUUGCUCCAGAGGCAAAGCCAGUGAAGGGCAGCACUGAAGCCCAUGUGGUGUUGCUCCUCUCCUUCAGUCAUACACCUGGCAGCUGCAGGACACCUGGGAAUGCCAAUGACCAACUGUGCAUACAGGAGUCCUUGGUGUGCCUCAAGGGCUGGAUUUAUUGAAUAAAAGCAGAAGCCCUGUGGUCUGGUGGAUUGAACAUGAAACCCUGGAAACCUGUUUUCUAAGCCCUGUGGUGCUGCUGUCACACUGCCUCGGUUCUAGGAAAAUGUCUGACAUCUUGAUGCUGUGGGUUUGUCCUUCCA
This is a non-coding RNA of Cyanistes caeruleus (blue tit), 485 nucleotides long. Lineage: Eukaryota; Metazoa; Chordata; Aves; Passeriformes; Paridae. The record is from RefSeq and is a predicted model, not a curated record.